CCUUCGGAUUUGCUAGGAUUGGGCUCUUUUGGUGUACUUUCUCGUACGGUUAGUCAACAUCGGUUUUGAAUGUCAUAAAAUGACUGGAGGAAUGUGGCUUCGAUCUCGUAUUGAAGUGUUAUAGCCUUUGAUAUAUGUGAUGUUUGAGACCGAUGAUUGCAACGGAUACCCUUCUGGGCUAUUCGUCUGAUCUCUGAAACGUUGCCUUGAUGUCGAAAGCUUACUUAUGAUGUUAUGGUAUUACGGUCAAAAGGUUAGAACGGAUUAAA
RNAcentral lists this ribosomal RNA (269 nucleotides) under uncultured Funneliformis. RNAcentral's name for it is "partial 28S ribosomal RNA". Lineage: Eukaryota; Fungi; Glomeromycota; Glomeromycetes; Glomerales; Glomeraceae. The record is from RNAcentral.